This 331-nucleotide ribosomal RNA is filed under the name uncultured eukaryote. Its description in RNAcentral is "partial 18S ribosomal RNA". It matches the Rfam family "Eukaryotic small subunit ribosomal RNA", at positions 1470 to 1796 of the family's 1831-position model. The record is from RNAcentral.
CCCUUAGAUGUUCUGGGCCGCACGCGCGCUACACUGACGGAGGCAGCGAGCAUGUCCUUCGCCGAGAGGUGUGGGGAAUCUUGUGAGUCUCCGUCGUGCUGGGGAUAGAUGGUUGCAAUUGUCGAUCUUGAACGAGGAAUUCCUAGUAAGCGCGAGUCAUCAGCUCGCGCUGAUUACGUCCCUGCCCUUUGUACACGCCGCCCGUCGCUACUACCGAUUGGAUGGCUUAGCGAGAAUUUUGGAUCGGAGCCCGGGUGGUCGGCAACGGUCGCCCGGGAGAUCUGAGAAAUCAUUCCAGCUUGGUCAUCUAGAGGAAGUAAAAGUCGUAACA